GACGGAGGAUGCAAGCGUUAUCCGGAAUGAUUGGGCGUAAAGCGUCCGCAGGUGGCAGUUCAAGUCUGCUGUCACAGACCGGGGCUCAACCUCGGAAAGGCAGUGGAAACUGAACAGCUAGAGUAUGGUAGGGGCAGAGGGAAUUCCUGGUGUAGCGGGGAAAUGCGUAGAGAUGAGGAGGAACAUCGGUGGCGAAGGCGGUCUGCUGGACCAUAACUGACACUCAGGGACGAAAGCGAGGGGAGCGAAUGGG
RNAcentral lists this ribosomal RNA (253 nucleotides) under uncultured bacterium. RNAcentral's name for it is "partial 16S ribosomal RNA". It matches the Rfam family "Bacterial small subunit ribosomal RNA", at positions 524 to 776 of the family's 1533-position model. The record is from RNAcentral.